RNAcentral lists this ribosomal RNA (497 nucleotides) under uncultured bacterium. RNAcentral's name for it is "partial 16S ribosomal RNA". It matches the Rfam family "Bacterial small subunit ribosomal RNA", at positions 28 to 507 of the family's 1533-position model. The record is from RNAcentral.
GAUGAACGCUGGCGGCGUGCCUAAUACAUGCAAGUCGAGCGAACAGACGAGGAGCUUGCUCCUCUGACGUUAGCGGCGGACGGGUGAGUAACACAUGGAUAACCUACCUAUAAGACUGGGAUAACUUCGGGAAACCGGAGCUAAUACCGGAUAAUAUAUUGAACCGCAUGGUUCAAUAGUGAAAGACGGUUUUGCUGUCACUUAUAGAUGGAUCCGCGCCGCAUUAGCUAGUUGGUAAGGUAACGGCUUACCAGGGCAACGAUGCGUAGCCGACCUGAGAGGGUGAUCGGCCACACUGGAACUGAGACACGGUCCAGACUCCUACGGGAGGCAGCAGUAGGGAAUCUUCCGCAAUGGGCGAAAGCCUGACGGAGCAACGCCGCGUGAGUGAUGAAGGUCUUCGGAUCGUAAAACUCUGUUAUUAGGGAAGAACAAAUGUGUAAGUAACUAUGCACGUCUUGACGGUACCUAAUCAGAAAGCCACGGCUAACUACGUG